AUUGCAGCCUGCAAAAUGAGAAUUUUCCAGCCUCCAAAAGACAGGGAGACUAAAUGGCACACUACUUUCCAGUCUCCUAACAGAUUAGCCAUGUUAUAAAUGGGUGUGUUGGAGGGACAGAUAAAAUACACCUGGAGCUUGUGUAGAGAGAGAGGUUGGUGUGCAGGGAGGUGAGAAUUGAACUGACAGACCUGCAGCUGGGGUCUCUGUGGUUUUCCUUUUUUCAGCACCCCUGUGCAGCCUGGAACCCUGACUUUCACUUGGAAGGUUAAUUUUCCUUCAAAUGAGAAAUAGGUUUGGCUCCAGCAGUCAAAGCAAGGUUAAGAACCCGGACAGAGGAAUUGCACAGAGCUGAAUCCUGCAGAUCAUUGCAGGUCUUUCCUCUCCCGGUGGGCAGUGCUGGCAGCUGCCUCAGUGCUGAUCCUGGCAGAGGAGGUGCUGCUGCAGGACCACGGGAUGUAGGGCUGCUGUGAAUCCCCUGAGUCUCCUCAGAUGUGUGACCCCUGCCACCUGCUGCUGCAGCCAAAGCCAGAAAGUGUGUUUGAGAGCACGGGAGAAGAGAGGGGUAUUGGAAAUUCCUAAGGCAGGACAAAUGUCCAGACAUAAAGAGAAAGGAGCAUUGAUCAUUUUAUUGUUAAGUCUGAUGCUGCUGCUGCUAGAGCCCUUGGUCUGUGUGAAGCUGUGUUUUGGGGAAGACCACAAAGCCUUCAGUGUAUGAUUUACUGGAGCAGAAAAACUUGCUCAUCCCUUCCUUGGCUCACCUGAGUUGAAAAUACAAUCUCCUCUUAAAACAAGCCUGUGCACAGCUGGGUGUAAUUCAGCCCACAGCUUCUGCUGCCUUAAUUCACAAAGAUCAAUUUACAGAGGAAAGCCUCCAGCUAACUGAUGCCAGGUGGUGGCUUUGGCUUCCUGAGGGGGUGGGUGACAAAUACAAGUGGCCUGAAACAAAUCAAGGGAUAAUGCUGUGCCACAGAACGGUGCUGGAUGCCUUCUGUCUGCGGGUAUCUAAUACAGCUAAUAAGCAGCUCACAUUACUGCCUGAUUUGGCAGGAAUUAUUACCUGCUGAAUGGCUUAAUAGAUUUCCAGUCCCUCUGUGUGUAAUUUUCACUCAUCCCCAAAGGAAAGCUAUAUAAUGUUUGCCAUAGUUGUUUGUGGAAUUGGGAUGCACCACAGGUGUCAUAAACUGCUCUGUAUUACAUGCCAUUUUGCUUCUGGUGGGGCUGUAAUUACUGGGAGCUCUUCUCUACUUGGGAUGUGAUUGUCCAAGGCAGGACCUUACACUGUCUGGCCUCCCUUUGUGACGGCAGUGUUUGCCUUCAUUAUCUUCAUUAUUGGUAAAUCUGCCCAAGUAACUCUUGGACAUCUUAAAAUAUGUUUAAGUGGUUGGAUUCAGAGGUGUUUUUUUAUCAGGG
Molecule: long non-coding RNA, 1413 nt
Organism: Parus major (Great Tit)
Lineage: Eukaryota; Metazoa; Chordata; Aves; Passeriformes; Paridae
Exons: 4
Source: RefSeq, a predicted model, not a curated record